RNAcentral lists this ribosomal RNA (253 nucleotides) under uncultured bacterium. RNAcentral describes it as "partial 16S ribosomal RNA". It matches the Rfam family "Bacterial small subunit ribosomal RNA", at positions 524 to 776 of the family's 1533-position model. The record is from RNAcentral.
UACGUAGGGUGCGAGCGUUAAUCGGAAUUACUGGGCGUAAAGCGUGCGCAGGUGGUGAUGUAAGACAGGUGUGAAAUCCCCGGGCUUAACCUGGGAACUGCGCUUGUAACUGGCAAGCUAGAGUGUGGCAGAGGGGGGUGGAAUUCCAAGUGUAGCAGUGAAAUGCGUAGAUAUUUGGAGGAACACCGAUGGCGAAGGCAGCCCCCUGGGCUAACACUGACGCUCAUGCACGAAAGCGUGGGGAGCAAACAGG